RNAcentral lists this transfer RNA (61 nucleotides) under Metaphire sieboldi (earthworm). Its description in RNAcentral is "tRNA-Leu1". Lineage: Eukaryota; Metazoa; Annelida; Clitellata; Crassiclitellata; Megascolecidae. The record is from RNAcentral.
AGUGUGUUGGCAGAGUAGUGCAACUGAUUUAGGAUCAGUUUAUGGAGUGAACCACACACUA